CGGGAUGUAGCGCAGCCUGGUUAGCGCACUAGUCUGGGGGACUAGGGGUCGGAGGUUCAAAUCCUCUCAUCCCGACCA
This 78-nucleotide transfer RNA is filed under the name Desulfobulbaceae bacterium BRH_c16a. RNAcentral describes it as "tRNA-Pro". It matches the Rfam family "tRNA". Rfam says of the family: Transfer RNA (tRNA) molecules are approximately 80 nucleotides in length. Their secondary structure includes four short double-helical elements and three loops (D, anti-codon, and T loops). Further hydrogen bonds mediate the characteristic L-shaped molecular structure. tRNAs have two regions of fundamental functional importance: the anti-codon, which is responsible for specific mRNA codon recognition, and the 3' end, to which the tRNAs corresponding amino acid is attached (by aminoacyl-tRNA synthetases). tRNAs cope with the degeneracy of the genetic code in two manners: having more than one tRNA (with a specific anti-codon) for a particular amino acid; and 'wobble' base-pairing, i.e. permitting non-standard base-pairing at the 3rd anti-codon position. Lineage: Bacteria; Pseudomonadati; Thermodesulfobacteriota; Desulfobulbia; Desulfobulbales; Desulfobulbaceae. RNAcentral also lists the same sequence under 1 other name. The record is from RNAcentral.